CUAAUGCUCCACUGCAACCUGGAGAGAAGGAGAUUUGCUUUUAGUCAAGACAGGGCGCGGCAGAACAGAAGAGCCUGUGGUGACGGCUGCUGCUCUGAGGAGUCUCCCGCUCAUCGAGCAGCAUCAGCACGAAGACUCCUCAAACACUCGUCCUCCGUUCCGUGGAGCUUUCUUCAGACUUUAUUGCAGCUGAAUGCAUCAGAUGAUCAAACCUCUAAGAGCACAAAGACAUCUGGAAGAACUUUAAAAGUGACUCAUUGUUGUUUGUCCUCAGAGUUUGACUGCAUUGGAUGUUAUAAAAAAAACUAAAAAGAAAUGACUGUGAGGCUAAACAGCAGACUGUCAUCUUUAAUAUGAAGCACCACAGGCAAAAGAAAUCAAACUCCCUUUGACAACAACACCUUUUUGUCCAGGAAGUAGAAUUAUUUGCUCCUGUCUCCGGUCAUACCAGGGGAAAAGGUGCUCAACCUGGCUAUCCUCGUAAACAUCAUUAUAAUUCCUAAAUCCGUCUGCCCUCUGCACACAUGUCACAUUACCCCUCUUCCUACAGGGCUCUGUCUCUGCAUUUACUGAAUUAUACUUACAAACUGUCACAGCCUUUCAACUGUUCUGCUAAUCAGCAGUGAAGCAAAAUCAUGACAAAACAUUUUCAAAUGAUGAAUGGCGUUGUGCCUGCAGCUCUGACUGCAUGCUCAGGAUUUAUUAAUUCAAUAGAAACGUUUUUUUUUUUUAAUAAAUGGCUGCAUUUGUUUGUAUGAGAUGGUCAAAAAAAAGAAGAAUUGAAUAGAAAUGAAAGAUGUGCACUGCUUUUUUUCCCACUGUCCGUUCAAUUAAACUCAAAGAUAAUGAUCUCCAAAGGGAUAUUAAACUCCUGCAGCACAAAAAUAAAUAUAUGAUAAUAACAACUGGCUUUGUAAAAAAUGUCCUUGGAAAAGUCAUAAUUGCUUUGGACAAGAAUGACCUCCUAUAACAAUCUGAAUGAGAUACAAGAUACCUUGAAACAUCAUUGAAUAGUUUUAUGAGUACAGCAGCCAUUUGUAAGGACUAGGAGCUUCAUCUCCAUUUAUGGUUACCCUGCUUUAUCAGUAUGUUCAAUUUUCUUCAGUAUACUGGGUUUUAAGCCGGGUUAAAAAAAAAAAAAAAAAAAA
Molecule: long non-coding RNA, 1148 nt
Organism: Oryzias melastigma (Indian medaka)
Lineage: Eukaryota; Metazoa; Chordata; Actinopteri; Beloniformes; Adrianichthyidae
Exons: 2
Source: RefSeq, a predicted model, not a curated record